UGUACAUCUAAUUGUUAGUGUGUCUGUGUGUACAUCUAAAUGUUAGUGUGUCUGUGUGUACAUUUAAAUAUUAAUGUGUCUUUGUGCAGAACCAGAUGUUUGUGUUUUUGUGUACUUCUGAAUACUAAUGUGUCUGUGUGUACAUCUAAUUGUUAUUGUGUCUUUGUGUACAUCUAAAUAUUAGUGUGUGUCAUUGUUUAGAACCAAAUGAUAGUGUGUCUGUGUGUACAUCUAAUUGUUAGUGUGUCUGUGUGUAGAUCUAUCUGUUAGUGUGUCUGUGUGUACAUCUAAAUAUUAGUGUGUGUCAUUGUUUAGAACCAAAUGAUAGUGUGUCUGUGUGUACAUCUAAUUGUUAGUGUGUCUGUGUGUACAUCUAAUUGUUAGUGUGUCUUUGUUUAGAACCAAAUGUUAGUGUGUCUGUGUGUACAUCUAAUUGUUAGUGUGUCUGUGUGUAGAUCUAACUGUUAGUGUGUCUGUGUGUACAUCUAAUUGUUAUUGUGUCUUUGUGUACAUCUAAAUAUUAGUGUGUGUCAUUGUUUAGAACCAAAUGAUAGUGUGUCUGAGUUCAUCUGUGUGUGUGUGUGUGUCAUGAGUAGAUCUGGAUUUGCUCCUGAGGGGUUGACGCGGCGUCCUGAUGGCGUCCCGAUUCAGAUUUGUCCUGAGGGCGUCCCGAUGACGUGGCAUCCUGAUGGCGUCCCGAUGACGUGGUGUCCUGAUGGCGUCCCGAUGGCGUGGCGUCCUGAUGAAGUCCUGUUGGUCUGCAGACAAGAAGAAGAGACAUGAGGAGGAUAAUCAGGAUGUGUCUGUGUGUACAUCUAAUUGUUAUUGUGUCUUUGUGUACAUCUAAAUAUUAGUGUGUGUCUUUGUUUAGAACCAAAUGUUAGUGUGUCUGUGUGUACAUCUAAUUGUUAGUGUGUCUGUGUGUACAUCUAAAUAUUAAUGUGUCUUUGUGUACAUCUAAAUGUUAGUGUGUGUCUUUGUUUAGAACCAUAUGUUAGUGUGUCUGUGUGUACAUCUAAUUGUUAGUGUGUCUGUGUGUAGAUCUAAUUGUUAAAGUGUCUGUGUGUACAUCUAAAUAUUAAUGUGUCUUUGUGUACAUCUAAAUGUUAGUGUGUGUCUUUGUUUAGAACCUAAUGUUAACGUGUCUGUGAGUACAUCUGUGUGUGUGUGUGUCAUGAGUAGAUCUGGAAUUGCUCCUGAGGGGUUGACGCGGCGUCCUGAUGGCGUCCCGAUGACGUGGCGUCCCGAUGACGUGGUGUCCUGAUGGCGUCCCGAUGGCGUCCUGUUGGUCUGCAGACAAGGAGAAGAGACGUGAGGAGGAUCAUCAGGAUGUGUCUGUGUGUACAUAUAAUUGUUAGUGUGUCUGUGUGUAGAUCUAAUUGUUAGUGUGUCCGUGUGUACAUCUAAUUGUUAGUGAGUCUGUGUGUAGAUCUAAUUGUUAGUGUGUCUGUGUGUACAUCUAAUUGUUAGUGUGUCUGUGUGUGGAUCUAAUUGUUAGUGUGUCUGUGUGUACAUCUAAUUGUUAGUGUCUGUGUGUACAUCUAAAUGUUAGUGUGUCUGUGUGUACAUCUAAAUAUUAAUAUGUCUUUGUGUACAUCUAAAUAUUAGUGUGUGUCUUUGUGUACAUCUAAAUGUUAGUGUGUGCCUUUGUUUAGAACCAAAUGAUAGUGUAUCUGUGUGUACAUCUAAUUGUUAGUGUGUCUGUGUGUACAUCUAAAUAUUAAUGUGUCUUUGUGUACAUCUAAAUGUUAGUGUGUGUCUUUGUUUAGAACCAAAUGUUAGUGUGUCUGUGUGUACAUCUAAUUGUACAUCUAAAUUUGCCAGCGUGUCUAAAUGUUAGUGUGUCUCUGAGUACAUCUGUGUGUGUGUGCGUGUGUGUGGGGGUGUGUGUGUGUGUCAUGAGUAGAUCUGGAUUUGCUCCUGAGGGGUUGACGCGGCGUCCUGAUGGCGUCCUGAUGGAAUCCUUAUGGCGUCCCUAUGACGUGGCGUCCUGAUAGCGUCCUGAUGGUGUCCCGAUGACGUAGCGUCCCGAUGACGUGGCGUCCUGAUGGCGUCCUGUUGGUCUGCAGACAAGGAGAAGAGACAUCUGCAUUUGCUCCUGAGGGGUUGACGCGGCGUCCUGAUGGCGUCCCGAUGACGUGGUGUCCUGAUGGCGUCCCGAUGACGUGGCGUCCUGAUGGCGUCCUGUUGGUCUGCAGACAAGGAGAAGAGACAUGAGGAGGAUCAUCAGGAUGUGUCUGUGUGUACAUCUAAUUGUUAUUGUGUCUUUGUGUACAUCUAAAUAUUAGUGUGUGUCUUUGUGUACAUCUAAAUGUUAGUGUGUGUCAUUGUUUAGAAUCAAAUGAUAGUGUGUCUGUGUGUACAUCUAACUGUUAUUGUGUCUUUGUGUACAUCUAAAUAUUAGUGUGUGUCUUUGUUUAGAACCAAAUGAUAGUGUGUCUGUGUGUACAUCUAAUUGUUAGUGUGUCUGUGUGUACAUCUAAAUAUUAAUGUGUCUUUGUGUACAUCUAAAUGUUAGUGUGUGUCUUUGUUUAGAACCAAAUGUUAGUGUGUUUGUGUGUACAUCUAAAUUUGCCAGCGUGUCUAAAUGUUAGUGUGUCUCUGAGUACACCUGUGUGUGUGUCUGUGUGUGUCAUGAGUAGAUCUGGAUUUGCUCCUGAGGGGUUGACGCGGCGUCCUGAUGGCGUCCUGAUGGAAUCCUGAUGACGUCCCGAUGGCGUGGCGUCCUGAUGGCGUCCUGUUGGUCUGCAGACAAGGAGAAGAGACGUGAGGAUGGUCAUCAGGAUGUGUCCGUGUGUACAUCUAAUUGUUAGUGUGUCUGUGUGUAGAUCUAAUUGUUAGUGUGUCUGUGUGUACAUCUAAAUAUUAAUGUGUCUUUGUGUACAUCUAAAUGUUAGUGUGUGUCUUUGUUUAGAACCAAAUGUUAGUGUGUCUUUGUGUACAUCUAAAUAUUAGUGUGUGUCAUUGUUUGGAACCAAAUGAUAGUGUGUCUGUGUGUAGAUCUCAUUGUUAGUGUGUCUGUGUGUACAUCUAAUGGUUAUUGUGUCUUUGUGUACAUCUAAUUGUUAUUGUGUCUUUGUGUACAUUUAAAUAUUAAUGUGUCUUUGUGUACAUCUAAAUGUUAGUGUGUGUCUUUGUUUAGAACCAAAUGUUAGUGUGUCUGUGUGUACAUCUAAUUGUUAGUGUGUCUGUGUGUGGAUCUAAUUGUUAGUGUGUCUGUGUGUACAUCUAAUUGUUGUCUUUGAGUACAUCUAAAUAUUAGUGUGUGUCUGUGUUUAGAACCAAAUGUUAGUGUGUCUGUGUGUACAUCUAAUUGUUAGUGUGUCUGUGUGUACAUCUAAUUGUUAUUGUCUUUGUGUACAUCUAAAUAUUAGUGUGUGUCAUUGUUUAGAACCAAAUGAUAGUGUGUCUGUGUGUAGAUCUCAUUGUUAGUGUGUCUGUGUGUACAUCUAAUGGUUAUUGUGUCUUUGUGUACAUCUAAAUAUUAGUGUGUGUCAUUGUUUAGAACCAAAUGAUAGUGUGUCUGUGUGUACAUCUGUGUGUGUGUGUGUGUGUGUGUGUGUGUGUGUGUGUGUGUGGGGGGGGGGGGGUGUCAUGCGUAGAUCUGGAUUUGCUCCUGAGGGGUUGAUGUGACGUCCUGAUGGCGUCCCGUUGACGUGGCGUCCUGAUGGCGUCCCGUUGGUCUGCAGACAAGGAGAAGAGACGUGAGGAGGAUCAUCAGGAUGUGAGACAAGAUUCAUAGAUCCAAUUAUUUUAAUUUGAUGCACAUUUUAAUUAUUUCAUGUUUGUAUGGAUGUGUAAAUCUACAUUAUAUAUUUGUGGUUGUUAAACUGUAUUUCUGUAUUUGCUUUUUAUGUUUAGCUAGUCUCUGUGCAUACCAAUAUGUUAGUGCGUCUCUGUGUAAGUACUUUUUACAUUACAUUACAUUUCAUUUAGCUGACGCUUUUAUCCAAAGCGACUUACAAUAAGUGCAUUCAACCAUAGGGUACAAACUCAGAAGUGCAAUUUCCUCAAAUAACUUUUAUAUGUUAGUGCGUCUCUGUGUAAGUACUUUUAUAUGUUAAUGCGUCUCUGUGUACAUCUACAUGACAACAGCAGGAAUCAGAGGUUUAUCUCAAGGUAUUAGCUCUAAAUCACAGCCUUCUCCACCCGAUAGACCAAUACAUCAUUCACAGCAGUAAGGCUGCAGUCUGUCUGGAUUCCUCACUUACCUUGAGCUCUGUUGAGUGCAGCAGAACGCGUCUUCGUCCCCUCUACAGACUCCUGAGGCAUUACAUGGUUGCUUUCUGCAAGUGUAGGUCCGGAAAACUUCAGUGUGUAGAUGCGAGGUUUGAAACUGACUGACUGGAUGUGCAACAGACUGUGUUCUUAUGCUGUGGUGAACGGAGCACAGAACAUGGAACAUGGAACAUGGAGAAAUGUUCCAUCAUGAUGUAACGUCUCUAUGGUUACAGUGAAGGUAUCUACAAUAUGCAAAUGAGCCUUUAGAGUAAAUGUG
Gasterosteus aculeatus aculeatus (three-spined stickleback) is the source of this 4498-nucleotide long non-coding RNA. Lineage: Eukaryota; Metazoa; Chordata; Actinopteri; Perciformes; Gasterosteidae. The record is from Ensembl.